RNAcentral lists this ribosomal RNA (254 nucleotides) under uncultured bacterium. RNAcentral describes it as "partial 16S ribosomal RNA". It matches the Rfam family "Bacterial small subunit ribosomal RNA", at positions 524 to 776 of the family's 1533-position model. The record is from RNAcentral.
GACGAACCGUGCAAACGUUAUUCGGAAUCACUGGGCUUAAAGCGCGUGUAGGCGGGCCGGCACGUCGGUCGCUGAAAUCCCCCGGCUCAACCGGGGAACCGGCGGCGAUACGACCGGCCUGGAGGGAGGUAGGGGGCGCCGGAACUGCCGGUGGAGCGGUGAAAUGCGUUGAGAUCGGCAGGAACGCCCGUGGCGAAAGCGGGCGCCUGGACCUCGCCUGACGCUGAGACGCGAAAGCCAGGGGAGCGAACGGG